RNAcentral lists this ribosomal RNA (1279 nucleotides) under Cucujoidea sp. 44 KM-2017. Its description in RNAcentral is "16S ribosomal RNA". The stretch from base 1036 to 1194 matches the Rfam family "Archaeal large subunit ribosomal RNA", at positions 2542 to 2701 of the family's 2987-position model. Lineage: Eukaryota; Metazoa; Arthropoda; Insecta; Coleoptera. The record is from RNAcentral.
AGUGUAUAAAGUUAUUAAAUUAAUUAAUUUUAGUUUUAUUUAUUAAAAUAUUUUUAAUUUAGUAUUAUUUAGAAAAAUUUAAUUUAAUUAUAGUUUAUUAGUAUUGAGAAAGAAUUUUUAUUUAUUUAUUAAAGAAAUAUUAAAUUUUUGUACCUUGUGUAUCAGGGUUAAUUAAAAAUUUUUAUAUAUUUAGGUUUCUCGAUUUUAAAAGUGCUAUUUAGUAAUAUAUUUUAAUGUAGAAUAAUUAAUUGUAAUUAUUAAAUAGAAAUGAAAUGUUAUUCGUUUUUAAAUAUAUUUAGUUUUUAAAUAAAUAAAUUUAAUUUAAUUAUUAAUAAUAAAUUUAUUAAAUUUUUAAUAUUUUUAUUUUAAUAUUUUAUAUUUUAAGGGAUAAGCUUUAAAAUAAAAUUUUAUAAGUUUAUAUAUUUAAAUUAUUUGUAGGAUUAAAAAUUUUUAUCAUUAAAAUUAUGUUAUAAUAAAUAAUUUUGUUUAUUAUAUUUAUAUAAAUUUUAAUUAUUUAUUUAGAUGUUUAUUUUAAUUUUUAAAAUAAAGUAAUAAUGAUUAAAUUAGUAUAUGAAUUUUUAUUUUAUAUUUUAAUUUUUAGAUUAAAUUAAGGAAUUUGGCAAAUUAAUUUUCACCUGUUUAUUAAAAACAUGUCUUAUUGUUAAUAAUUUUAAGUCUAACCUGCCCAUUGAGGAGUUAAAAGGCCGCGGUAAUUUGACCGUGCUAAGGUAGCAUAAUCAUUAGUUUUUUAAUUGAAAGCUGGAAUGAAGGGUUGAAUGGAAAAUUAACUGUCUCAGUUUAAUUACAGUAAAAUUUUAAUUUUAAGUUAAAAAGCUUAAAUUUUUUUAAAAGACGAGAAGACCCUAUAGAGUUUAAUAUAUUAAGUGAAUUGGUUAGUUUAGUAUUAAUAUUUUAAUUUAUUUAUUUUAUUUAAUUGGGGUGAUUUAAAAAUUUAUAUAACUUUUUUUUAUUUGAAUUAUAAAUAAAUAGAUUUUUGAUCCAGUCGUAUUGAUUAAAAGAUUAAAUUACCUUAGGGAUAACAGCGUUAUUUUUUUUUAGAGUUCUUAUUGAAUAAAAAGAUUGCGACCUCGAUGUUGGAUUAAAAUUAAUUUAUGGUGCAGAAGCUAUACUAUUAAGUCUGUUCGACUUUUAAAAUUUUACAUGAUCUGAGUUUAAACCGGUGUGAGCCAGGUUGGUUUCUAUCUUUAAUAUUUUUUUUAUAUUUUAGUACGAAAGGAUUAAAUAUAUAAAAUAGUUUUUAUUUUAAUGAAUUUUACUA